RNAcentral lists this ribosomal RNA (1061 nucleotides) under uncultured bacterium. Its description in RNAcentral is "bacterial SSU rRNA". It matches the Rfam family "Bacterial small subunit ribosomal RNA", at positions 1 to 1055 of the family's 1533-position model. The record is from RNAcentral.
GGAUCCAGACUUUGAUCAUGGCUCAGAACGAACGCUGGCGGCGUGUUUAAGACAUGAAAGUCGCACGGGAUCACUUGAGUAGUAAUACAAGAGUGGUCUAGUGGCGCACGGGUGAGUAACAUGUGAAUUACAUGCCCUUCAGUGGGGAAUAGCCCAGGGAAACUUGGAUUAAUACCCCAUGGUAUCGCAAGAUUAAAGGUGGCCGCAAGGCUGUCGCUGAAGGAUUGGUUCGCACCCUAUCAGCUUGUUGGUGAGGUAAUGGCUCACCAAGGCUACGACGGGUACCUGGUCUGAGAGGACGAUCAGGCACACUGGAACUGAGACACGGUCCAGACACCUACGGGUGGCAGCAGUCGAGAAUAAUUCACAAUGGGGGCAACCCUGAUGGUGCAACGCCGCGUGGAGGAUGAAGGUCUUCGGAUUGUAAACUCCUGUCAUCUGGGAGUAAGGCAUGGUUGUUAAUAGCAAACAUGAUUGAUAGUACCAGAAGAGGAAGGGACGGCUAACUUCGUGCCAGCAGCCGCGGUAAUACGAAGGUCCCAAGCGUUGUUCGGAAUCACUGGGCGUAAAGGGAGCGUAGGCGGCGUGGUAAGUCAGAUGUGAAAUCCCGGGGCUCAACCCCGGAACUGCAUCCGAUACUGCCAUGCUAGAGGAUUGGAGAGGUAGCUGGAAUUCUUGGUGUAGCAGUGAAAUGCGUAGAGAUCAAGAGGAACACUCGUGGCGAAAGCGAGCUACUGGACAAUUCCUGACGCUGAGGCUCGAAGGCUAGGGUAGCGAAGGGGAUUAGAUGCCCCUGUAGUCCUAGCAGUAAACGGUGCACGCUUGGUGUGAGGGGAAUCGACCCCCCUUGUGCCGGAGCUAACGCGUUAAGCGUGCCGCCUGGGAAGUACGGUCGCAAGACUAAAACUCAAAGAAAUUGACGGGGACCCGCACAAGCGGUGGAGUAUGUGGCUUAAUUCGAUGCAACGCGAAGAACCUUACCAAGGCUUGACAUGCAUCUCUAAACACGUGAAAGCGUGUGACCCUUCGGGGAAUUUGCACAGGUGCUGCAUGGCCGUCGU